GAUGAACGCUGGCGGCGUGCCUAACACAUGCAAGUCGAGCGCGCAGCCACUGGUAGCAAUACCGGUGGUGGGCGAGCGGCGAACGGGUGCGUAACACGUGGGCAACCUGCCCCAGACUCUGGGAUAACUCCGGGAAACCGGGGCUAAUACCGGAUACUCUCGGCCGGCCGCAUGAUCGGCCGAGGAAAGCUCCGACGGUCUGGGAUGGGCCCGCGGCCUAUCAGCUUGNGGUGNGGUAACGGCUCACCAAGGCGACGACGGGUAGCUGGUCUGAGAGGACGCCAGCCACACUGGGACUGAGAUACGGCCCAGACUCCGUACGGGAGGCAGCAGGUGGGGAAUCUUGCGCAAUGGGACGAAGCCUGACGCAGCGACGCCGCGUGAGGGA
This 388-nucleotide ribosomal RNA is filed under the name uncultured bacterium. RNAcentral describes it as "bacterial SSU rRNA". It matches the Rfam family "Bacterial small subunit ribosomal RNA", at positions 28 to 408 of the family's 1533-position model. The record is from RNAcentral.